GGGUAAAAUCCGUAGAGAUCAAGAGGAAUACUCAUUGCGAAGGCGACCUGCUGGAACAUUACUGACGCUGAUUGCGCGAAAGCGUGGGGAGCAAACAGGAUUAGAUACCCUGGUAGUCCACGCCCUAAACGAUGGAUGCUAGUUGUUGGAGGGCUUAGUCUCUCCAGUAAUGCAGCUAACGC
RNAcentral lists this ribosomal RNA (182 nucleotides) under Helicobacter pylori. RNAcentral describes it as "partial 16S ribosomal RNA". It matches the Rfam family "Bacterial small subunit ribosomal RNA", at positions 679 to 858 of the family's 1533-position model. Lineage: Bacteria; Pseudomonadati; Campylobacterota; Epsilonproteobacteria; Campylobacterales; Helicobacteraceae. The record is from RNAcentral.